GAUGAACGCUGGCGGCGUGCCUAAUACAUGCAAGUCGAGCGAACAGAUGAGGAGCUUGCUCCUCUGACGUUAGCGGCGGACGGGUGAGUAACACGUGGAUAACCUACCUAUAAGACUGGGAUAACUACGGGAAACCGGAGCUAAUACCGGAUAAUAUAUUGAACCGCAUGGUUCAAUAGUGAAGGACGGUUUUGCUGUCACUUAUAGAUGGAUCCGCGCCGGAUUAGCUAGUUGGUAAGGUAACGGCUCACCAAGGCAACGAUGCGUAGCCGACCUGAGAGGAGGGGCAGCCACCCUGGAACUGAGCCACGGCCCAGACCAAUCCGCGAGGCAGCGGUGCGGAAUAUAAGACAAGGGACUGAAGCAGGACACAGACAUACCGCGUGGAGGAAAGAGACACUCGGCUUUGAAAGCUCUAUUGUUGGGAAAGAAGAAUAGCGGGUGAAAAGCCUGCCGUUUUGACGGUACCUAAAGAAUAAGCACCGGCUAACUCCGUG
RNAcentral lists this ribosomal RNA (497 nucleotides) under uncultured bacterium. RNAcentral describes it as "partial 16S ribosomal RNA". It matches the Rfam family "Bacterial small subunit ribosomal RNA", at positions 28 to 507 of the family's 1533-position model. The record is from RNAcentral.